AGAACGAACGCUGGCGGCAUGCCUAAUACAUGCAAGUCGAACGAACUCUUCGGAGUUAGUGGCGCACGGGUGCGUAACGCGUGGGAAUCUGCCCCUUGGUUCGGAAUAACAGUUGGAAACGACUGCUAAUACCGGAUGAUGACGAAAGUCCAAAGAUUUAUCGCCAAGGGAUGAGCCCGCGUAGGAUUAGCUAGUUGGUGAGGUAAAGGCUC
This 212-nucleotide ribosomal RNA is filed under the name uncultured soil bacterium. RNAcentral's name for it is "partial 16S ribosomal RNA". It matches the Rfam family "Bacterial small subunit ribosomal RNA", at positions 26 to 266 of the family's 1533-position model. The record is from RNAcentral.